This is a long non-coding RNA of Megachile rotundata (alfalfa leafcutting bee), 757 nucleotides long. NCBI's taxonomy places the organism in Eukaryota, Metazoa, Arthropoda, Insecta, Hymenoptera, Megachilidae. The record is from RefSeq and is a predicted model, not a curated record.
ACCAUCAUCGUACAUUACAUAUACAACCGGCAUGAUACGCAUUUUGAGUACGAUUGAUCGUACGUGGAACAGUCAGUGGGCAACAAAGUAGUGAUUCCAAAGCUAUUUACCAACCUGUUCCUGAUUCUGGGUCAAUCUCGUUGGACGAGGAUUUCGUGCUUUUGCGGUUAUUAGUGGCAGCGGUCGCUAUUAAGGAUUCAGGCCGUCCUAUUGGCUCGCUGAUUCGCUCGUGGAUCGUGAAUGAGGACGAAUCGAGGCUUUUUGCCGUGGUAAAGAUUCAACUGAUUGAAUGCUGGCUACGAUGACGAUUUCUGAAAUGAACUUCGAUGAACUAACUCUGAGUUACAAUGAGAUUUCGAGAUGCAAUCACGAUUGUGCAACGACUCUAUUUCGCUUGCAGGUGUUAGGUGCUGUGUAUUAAUUUUCUGGUUUGAAAAGCAGAAAGUUGGAUACGAUUUUAUGACAUAAAUGUACAAUUAUUAUUACUGCAAUAUUUAUGUUAUAUCAAUUUGAAGCUUGAUGUACAAUGAAAAUGUCUAUUAUACAGAUUUUAUUAACAUGAAGUUUAAUAAUAAUUUAAGGACAUAAGUCUAUCAAAGUACUACUUGUAUCAUAUCGAUUUGAGGCGUAAUGUUUGUUGAAAAUGGCCAUAUUAACUGUUUGUUCGUGUUCUUAAUAUCCUAUUGUUAAUUGCCAAAUGACCACCUUAAUGCAUAAAAACAUGAUAAUAUAUAUGAUUGCCUAACUACUAGUCAAU